CGCAGCCCAUCACUGAGCUCCAACCGUCCGUGACAUCAUCGCCUCCACCCCGAUGUGUACACCCGGCCGCGGCCGACCGCUGCUCCUCAGAAUCAAAACUCACCUGUGAGCCCGUGCGCUGACCCCGGGUCAGAGGGACCAGGAUGCUGCAGUGAUCUGGUUUACAUGGAUGUCUAUGGCUGUCAGUGUGGAGUAAUGCUGGGGGCUGUGAAGAACCAGUGAGUGAAGAGAGAGCAGCAGACGCUCACUCACAGAGAGACACUUGUACGACGGGGGAGAGGACCGACCGCUGUCCCACGGACGGAUAUUAAACACACACACACACACACACACACACUCUUACACUUUUUGCUGCGGUUCCAUCCGUUGUGGCUGGACCUCUGGGGUUGGACGGAGGAGG
This is a long non-coding RNA of Cynoglossus semilaevis (tongue sole), 400 nucleotides long. RefSeq lists it as uncharacterized. The record is from RefSeq and is a predicted model, not a curated record. NCBI's taxonomy places the organism in Eukaryota, Metazoa, Chordata, Actinopteri, Pleuronectiformes, Cynoglossidae. The transcript has 3 exons.